AUGGGCCUGCUCCAGUUGGUUCUCAAUCUCACCCCUUUACUAGCAGGACACUACCAUCCUGAUUUCCCAUUAUUGGAAAAAGCUCAGUAACUGCUCCAAAGCACAGGAUCCCCUUACUCCACCAAUUGCUGGUUAUGUACCAGCUCUUCUGCUAAAACGGCAGGGAGAGCUUAUUCAGCCUCACCAAGAGAUUGGACAAGUAUAAAGGCAGAACUGCAUAUUUUCUAUCAAUGGGAGGCUAAUGGGAGAUGUUUGGGCCUGCAAAUAGCCUUCUUGCAAAAGUAAAGCAAGAUUUCCCUGAUAUCUGCAAAGAACCUCCCAAUUUUGGAUCCAUCUUUUCUAAUACCACUUUAAUGGGACUAGCCCCUAUUUGCAUUACGGCCAAUAAGAAAAAUGGAAUGGAUGUUGGGGCUCUUUCCAGUACAGUUAGCAAUGUUACUCUCACUGUAGAUCCUAACCAACGAACUUGCCAAACGUACACCCACAACUAAUUCUACCAUCACACAAGAUUUCCCAAACCUUCAAAUAUUACCUUUCCUCUGGGAACUUUGCUGGAUAAAUCCACCCAGUUUUGCCAGGGACACCCAAGCUCCUGCAGUAUUCAAAAUUUCUGGUUCCGGCCUGCUGAUACAACCAAUGCCUGCAAAUUGCCAAUCUCAUUUCUACAGAAGAAUGGGUUCUAUUGGACCAGACUCAAAAUUCUCUUUUUUAGGAAAAUAAAACCAAGGGAACUAAACAGAACCAAAGCCCAUGCACAUAAGUCUUAGCAGGCAUGACUAUAGCCACCAGCUACCUGGGUGUGUUGGCAGCCUUGGCAUUUCUUGGAGCUGUCCUCACCCCCUUGUUUCAUUUUUACAUCUCUACUUAUCUUAAAACCCAAGGAGCCUUCUAUAUUUGUGGCCAGCCAGUUCACCAGUGCCUCCCCACUAACCGGACUGGAACUUGUACCAUAGGCUAUGUAUCCCUAGACAUCUUCAUAGUCCCUGGCAAUCUCUCUCUUCCAGCACCAAUCUACAGGCAUUCCAUCUUUUCCAGGAUGAGGAGGGCUAUCCAAUUAAUUCUCCUU
This 1066-nucleotide long non-coding RNA is filed under the name Homo sapiens (human). Its description in RNAcentral is "non-protein coding lnc-PPP1R9A-2:1". Lineage: Eukaryota; Metazoa; Chordata; Mammalia; Primates; Hominidae. The record is from RNAcentral.